UCUGCCGGUGCUGCUGCGCCCUGCGGAGCUCCGAACACGUGCGCAGAGGCUGGCUGUGGCAGAUGCAACUGCAGGAUGACUUGAAAGUAGGGCAUCCUUCACCCAUCUGAAGGGAGGAAAUAGUGGCAGGUGACAGUCUGCAUGUGCAGUUUUCAGAUGCCUUCACCUGAAUGACAUCUACCUCCAUCAGGACCCCAGAUGUCUGACAGCCCUGUGUGACACCAAGAUAAGUAACAAUCUGGCUGCUGACUACCCUAUUGGACAACUCCAAUAUUAGAGAACAUUUCCACCAAUUCAGAAAGUUUAUUAUGCACUGCUGUUCUAGAGCAGGGAUCAGCAAACUUGCUGUAAAGAGCCAGGAUCCCGUUGAAGAUACCACAUUACACUUAGGCUCCUGUUGGCCAUGACAGCUUCUUAGACUUGUUUUUAAUGACCUUGACAGUUUUGUUUUUUUGUUUGUUUGUUUUUGAGACGGAGUCUCUGUCAUCCAGGCUGGAGUGCAAUGUAAUGGCUCAAUCUCAGCUCACUGCAACCUCUGCCUCCCGGGUUCAAGUGAUUCUCCUGCCUCAGCCUCCCCAGUAGCUGGGAUUACAGGCAUGAGCCACCGUGCCCGGCUGCCUCCUAAAUUCUCAAAACAUUCCAUUUUUAUUCUGUGGUCUUACUUUAUUCUGUCAUGUAGAGAAUAGUGGUUGAGCCUGUUGUCUUUUGAGAGUGGAUGCUGUAGUCCUUACAUGGCUGACUUUCAGCCCGUAAGCUUAUAGUAGAGGAUGGGGAUUUUGUUAUCAGCUGCUAAAAGGGAGAAGCCAAGCCCAGAACUAAGGGUUCUGAUGAGUUGAAGGAGAGGGAAGAUGCCCCUCAAGGCAAA
Molecule: long non-coding RNA, 865 nt
Filed under: Homo sapiens (human)
Lineage: Eukaryota; Metazoa; Chordata; Mammalia; Primates; Hominidae
Description: small nucleolar RNA host gene 4
Source: RNAcentral